CACGUAGGGGCGAGCGUUGUCCGGAAUUACUGGGCGUAAAGGGCGCGCAGGCUGUUAUGCGAGUCUGCUGUGAAAUGUACCGGCUCAACCGGUGCCUUGCGGCGGAUACUGCAUAGCUGGAGUACUGGAGAGGGAAGUGGAAUUCCCGGUGUAGCGGUGAAAUGCGUAGAUAUCAGGAGGAACACCGGCGGCGAAGGCGGCUUGCUGGACGGCAACUGACGUUGAGGCUCGAAAGCGUGGGGAGCAAACAGGAUUAGAUA
RNAcentral lists this ribosomal RNA (260 nucleotides) under uncultured prokaryote. RNAcentral describes it as "partial 16S ribosomal RNA". It matches the Rfam family "Bacterial small subunit ribosomal RNA", at positions 524 to 784 of the family's 1533-position model. The record is from RNAcentral.